RNAcentral lists this ribosomal RNA (252 nucleotides) under uncultured bacterium. Its description in RNAcentral is "partial 16S ribosomal RNA". It matches the Rfam family "Bacterial small subunit ribosomal RNA", at positions 524 to 776 of the family's 1533-position model. The record is from RNAcentral.
UACAGAGGGUGCAAGCAUUAAUCGGAAUUACUGGGCGUAAAGGGCAUGUAGGUUGUUUGGUAAGUUAGGUGUGAAAGAAUCGGGCUCAACCUGAUAAAGCAUCUAAUACUGCCAGACUAGAGUGCGGUAGGGGAUGAUGGAAUUUUCUGUGUAGCGGUAAAAUGCUUAGAGAUUGAAAGGAACAUCGGAGGCGAAGGCGAUCGUCUGGACCGUAACUGACACUGAAAUGCGAAAGCGUGGGUAGCAAACAGG